Dunckerocampus dactyliophorus (ringed pipefish) is the source of this 2470-nucleotide long non-coding RNA. RefSeq lists it as uncharacterized. NCBI's taxonomy places the organism in Eukaryota, Metazoa, Chordata, Actinopteri, Syngnathiformes, Syngnathidae. The transcript has 3 exons. The record is from RefSeq and is a predicted model, not a curated record.
ACGGCCCCAUAAUUGAUGACUUCAUCAAGUGGUGUGAGCAAUCAUAUCUGCAAGUGAACAUUUCUAUAACCAAAGAUAAGAUUUUAGAAGACAGGCAGGAGUUAAGGUCGCACCCAUCAAGGCACCAACUGGUGACUAUUUGCAAUCUGGGAAAUAUCUUGGGACCAUUAUUGAUAAUACUUCGGUAUCUUCAUUGCUUAGGGAAAUUUGCCUAAUUCCACGUGGAAAAAAACAUGAUAAUUAUGUUCUUUUGUACGUUUAUUGACUCUGUUCUGCUUUUUUGUGUGAUGUUAAGGUUUGGAAACAGACUGAGCCUAAUUAUCAGCUGGUCUAGUCCACUCAUUGGUGAGCCUACCAGACAGUUACAGCGGAAUGCCGACUGGUGAGUUCCAACUCCUUCCAUCUGUUUGGAGGCUCAGGGUCCCAAGGAGCAGAACAAAGCGCUACAGCAACAGCUUUGUUCCCUUAAAUACUGGUGUCCUGAAAAGACAGAACCAAUGUUGGCAACAGUGGCUCUCGCUAGGAGAAAGUCAAAUGCAUUCAAGGUGCAUCCAGGUCUUCAGAUCACAGAAUCAACUCCAUACACAUCUGAAGUUCAUUGUCGCAAGGAAAAAGAGCAAAGGACAAGUAUACGUGUGUGUGUGUGCGAGAGAGAGCGGGAGUAGAGGUGAGAUAUCCAAGGAGUGGCUUCGGGCCAAGCACGUUCUAUAUAUGUAAGACACCCCACCUAAAGAUGUACUAAUGCCUGCUGGCUCAUCAGAGAGGAGAAGAAUGUCCUUGUGUCGAUCCAGCCAGGUUUUUUGUACGAUGGUUGUACAAAGAAGUGAAUUUAAAUAGUUAGCAGAUACUACAACGCGAGGCCUGGUAUCAAUACAGUCUGGGAAGAUGCUGAUGAAACAACAGACAAAAGUAGCAACCAAAACCUGCCCGUAACGAAUGGCAAAAGAAGACUUAGCAUACAAAAACAUGAAACAAGAAGCAUGCAUGCAGGGAACAUGUUAGUCGUGGCCCAGAAUAGAGAACUCAGGUCAACACAUUUUAAACAUGAGGACUAAUCUUGCGUCAAUACAUUUACAUGCACUAAACAAUGAUUGCAUACAUUUGGUUCAGCUUUUAAAAAUGCAUAACACUUUGAUUAGAUAAAGGUGGGACGAACACACACAGACUAUGCGACUGUCCUCGGGUUCCAAAACAGUUCUGUUCAGACAGAACAAUUCCUUACUUUUACCGCUGUGGUUGCUUGCACACUGGAAGGGACGUUGCAAGAGAGGGAGAGAUGGUAAAAAGAAGAAAAAUGGUGUCCCUCAGUGUGCGACCCGUGACUAUGUAUUACUCUGCCUAUGUACUCUUCUGCCACACCCUAUAACUUGUUCUCGUUUUCUGUUGUACAGUAUUAAUAAUUUAUUGGACAACGUCCAUAACCACAAAAUGUUGUAACACGGAACGCCGUAAAACGAGGACCACUGGUAUACACUUUAGAGAUGUACAUGUAAACUCGGACUUCACGUAGAAGUGUGAGACCAAACUAUUUCGGAAAUCCGACUGUCUUAGGGCAUGUAAACCUUCUGACUGUUCUGUUGUACCUUUCAUGCUGACUGUAGUGGUGUAGCAGCGGGACAUCAGCCCUGCCUGAAAGAGGCAUAUAAAAAGGGCUUUCAGACGCAAACUCCCCAGAUUGCUCAAUUGUCUGUACUAUGAACGCAAUUAGGGCAUCCAGCACCCUUUGAUAGACCUAUUUUGGAAUGAUCCCUCCCAGCAAGGUCUCGUUGUCUAUGAGGAAGACAACACUCACUGACUUAAUUGCUGUAAUCUGGGAAUGAAGUCACCGAAGUAAAAAUAAGUAGCUCGAGGCAUGAACCGAACCUGUUUAGAAGCAGAUUAGAGAACCAGCAGAAUGACGUCAAAGCUAUUAAGGUUCAUAGACAGAAUGCCUGGCUCAGUUCUCACCGUCAGUCGUGCCAACAACUGCAUCACUGGUCUCAUGAGUGCAGAAGCAGGGUGGAGAAUAGUUGCCUUACAGAAUCCAGAGCCAAAACCCUGCAUAGGCACAUCUUAGGUGUCCUCAACAGAGAGACAUCUAUAAGAAACAAACAUCCCUUGUUACUUCACCAGGGCACAUGUAGUAUGACUACAAAACAGUUGACUGCCUUACAGAGCCUGGGUUUUGUUCGAGGUUUCUUUCCUAGAGGGAGUUUUUCUUUACCUCCGUUGCCAAAUGUUUGCUCAUGUGGGGUUCAGUUAGUUCUCUUUAAUGUAUGCCUGGUUCGAGACCUGCUUAAUGUGUAAAGUGCCUUGAGAUAACGUGUGUGGUGAAUUGGUCCUAGGUAAAUAAAAUUGACUUAACAGAAAGAACACAUGGGAAAAGGACCAUGACAUGACUGGCGUUUGCACCUGCAAGCUUGUGGAAGGGAUUUGAAUGAAAGUCAAGCAAUUGUUUUAAACUCAAGGUGAGCUCAAGUCUGAGCUAACC